Penaeus indicus is the source of this 308-nucleotide long non-coding RNA. RefSeq lists it as uncharacterized. The transcript has 3 exons. The record is from RefSeq and is a predicted model, not a curated record. NCBI's taxonomy places the organism in Eukaryota, Metazoa, Arthropoda, Malacostraca, Decapoda, Penaeidae.
AACUCUGUAUGUCCCUGAUGAUUUCCUGAACCAGCAGACUCCAGGUCUGAGGCAGUGGUGGGAACUCAAAUCUCGUCAUUAUGAUACAGUAUUGUUCUUCAAGAUGGGUAAAUUUUAUGAGCUGUUUCAUAUGGAUGCUAUGAUUGGAGUCCAAGAACUUGGCUUACUUAUGAUGAAGGGUGAAAAGGCACAUUCAGGUUUUCCAGAAAUUGCUUAUGGAAGAUAUUCAGCCACUUUGAUUGAGAAAGGUUACAAAGUUGCACGUAUUGAACAAACUGAAACCCCAGACAUGAUGGAGAAAAGAUGCA